Molecule: ribosomal RNA, 497 nt
Filed under: uncultured bacterium
Lineage: Bacteria
Description: partial 16S ribosomal RNA
Rfam family: Bacterial small subunit ribosomal RNA
Source: RNAcentral
GAUGAACGCUGGCGGCGUGCCUAAUACAUGCAAGUCGAGCGAACAGACGAGGAGCUUGCUCCUCUGACGUUAGCGGCGGACGGGUGAGUAACACGUGGAUAACCUACCUAUAAGACUGGGAUAACUUCGGGAAACCGGAGCUAAUACCGGAUAAUAUAUUGAACCGCAUGGUUCAAUAGUGAAAGACGGUUUUGCUGUCACUUAUAGAUGGAUCCGCGCCGCAUUAGCUAGUUGGUAAGGUAACGGCUUACCAAGGCAAUGAUGCGUAGCCGACCUGAGAGGGUGAUCGGCCACACUGUAACUGAGACACGGUCCAGACUCCUACGGGAGGCAGCAGUAGGGAAUCUUCCGCAAUGGGCGAAAGCCUGACGGAGCAACGCCGCGUGAGUGAUGAAGGUCUUCGGAUCGUAAAACUCUGUUAUUAGGGAAGAACAAAUGUGUAAGUAACUAUGCACGUCUUGACGGUACCUAAUCAGAAAGCCACGGCUAACUACGUG